ACCUAGCUGAUGAGUCCCAAAUAGGACGAAAUGUGCUUUCUGGAU
Molecule: non-coding RNA, 45 nt
Filed under: Schistosoma mattheei
Lineage: Eukaryota; Metazoa; Platyhelminthes; Trematoda; Strigeidida; Schistosomatidae
Source: RNAcentral